AGGGAAUCUUCCACAAUGGACGCAAGUCUGAUGGAGCAACGCCGCGUGAGUGAAGAAGGUUUUCGGACCGUAAAGCUCUGUUGUUGGUGAAGAAGGAUAGAGGUAGUAACUGGCCUUUAUUUGACGGUAAUCAACCAGAAAGUCACGGCUAACUACGUGCCAGCAGCCGCGGUAAAUACGUAGGUGGCAAGCGUUGUCCGGAUUUAUUGGGCGUAAAGCGAGCGCAGGCGGAAGAAUAAGUCUGAUGUGAAAGCCCUCGGCUUAACCGAGGAAUUGCAUCGG
Molecule: ribosomal RNA, 282 nt
Filed under: uncultured bacterium
Lineage: Bacteria
Description: partial 16S ribosomal RNA
Rfam family: Bacterial small subunit ribosomal RNA
Source: RNAcentral